UUCUGACCUAUACAGUCAUACCUUAUCUUCAUGCUCUUCUUUAAGAACACUCAAGUGAUCUUGCCAACAGCUGGUAUAUAUCUUUUAAGAGUUUUCUUAAAUGCUGUUGGCACUGACUACUGAGAGUAUUAUUCUGUUAAACUAUAGAAGGUGUUAUUAGCUCACAGAACGAUCAAUCACCAUUACUGACACUUCUGGCCCUUCAUUUCAUGGCUUUUUCCCCAC
This 225-nucleotide long non-coding RNA is filed under the name Elaeis guineensis (African oil palm). Its description in RNAcentral is "long non-coding RNA (EGUI_LNC013509)". The record is from RNAcentral. Lineage: Eukaryota; Viridiplantae; Streptophyta; Magnoliopsida; Arecales; Arecaceae.